UCGCACCUACCGAUUGAAUGACUCGGUGAAAAAUUGGGACUGUGAAUUGGUUUGCUUCAUUGCGAACUUUUUUGUGGGAACUUUUUUUAACCUCGCCAUUUAGAGGAAGGUG
This 112-nucleotide ribosomal RNA is filed under the name uncultured eukaryote. Its description in RNAcentral is "partial small subunit ribosomal RNA". It matches the Rfam family "Eukaryotic small subunit ribosomal RNA", at positions 1676 to 1785 of the family's 1831-position model. The record is from RNAcentral.